This 76-nucleotide transfer RNA is filed under the name Oscillospiraceae bacterium. RNAcentral's name for it is "tRNA-Met". It matches the Rfam family "tRNA". Rfam says of the family: Transfer RNA (tRNA) molecules are approximately 80 nucleotides in length. Their secondary structure includes four short double-helical elements and three loops (D, anti-codon, and T loops). Further hydrogen bonds mediate the characteristic L-shaped molecular structure. tRNAs have two regions of fundamental functional importance: the anti-codon, which is responsible for specific mRNA codon recognition, and the 3' end, to which the tRNAs corresponding amino acid is attached (by aminoacyl-tRNA synthetases). tRNAs cope with the degeneracy of the genetic code in two manners: having more than one tRNA (with a specific anti-codon) for a particular amino acid; and 'wobble' base-pairing, i.e. permitting non-standard base-pairing at the 3rd anti-codon position. Lineage: Bacteria; Bacillati; Bacillota; Clostridia; Eubacteriales; Oscillospiraceae. The record is from RNAcentral.
CGCGGGAUGGAGCAGUUGGUAGCUCGUCGGGCUCAUAACCCGAAGGUCGUGGGUUCAAGUCCCUCUCCCGCAACCA